AGAGUUUGAUCAUGGCUCAGAUUGAACGCUGGCGGCAGGCCUAACACAUGCAAGUCGAACGGUAACAGGAAGCAGCUUGCUGCUUCGCUGACGAGUGGCGGACGGGUGAGUAAUGUCUGGGAAACUGCCUGAUGGAGGGGGAUAACUACUGGAAACGGUAGCUAAUACCGCAUAACGUCGCAAGACCAAAGAGGGGGACCUUCGGGCCUCUUGCCAUCGGAUGUGCCCAGAUGGGAUUAGCUUGUUGGUGGGGUAACGGCUCACCAAGGCGACGAUCCCUAGCUGGUCUGAGAGGAUGACCAGCCACACUGGAACUGAGACACGGUCCAGACUCCUACGGGAGGCAGCAGUGGGGAAUAUUGCACAAUGGGCGCAAGCCUGAUGCAGCCAUGCCGCGUGUAUGAAGAAGGCCUUCGGGUUGUAAAGUACUUUCAGCGGGGAGGAAGGGAGUAAAGUUAAUACCUUUGCUCAUUGACGUUACCCGCAGAAGAAGCACCGGCUAACUCCGUGCCAGCAGCCGCGGUAAUACGGAGGGUGCAAGCGUUAAUCGGAAUUACUGGGCGUAAAGCGCACGCAGGCGGUUUGUUAAGUCAGAUGUGAAAUCCCCGGGCUCAACCUGGGAACUGCAUCUGAUACUGGCAAGCUUGAGUCUCGUAGAGGGGGGUAGAAUUCCAGGUGUAGCGGUGAAAUGCGUAGAGAUCUGGAGGAAUACCGGUGGCGAAGGCGGCCCCCUGGACGAAGACUGACGCUCAGGUGCGAAAGCGUGGGGAGCAAAACAGGAUUAGAUACCCUGGUAGUCCACGCCGUAAACGAUGUCGACUUGGAGGUUGUGCCCUUGAGGCGUGGCUUCCGGAGCUAACGCGUUAAGUCGACCGCCUGGGGAGUACGGCCGCAAGGUUAAAACUCAAAUGAAUUGACGGGGGCCCGCACAAGCGGUGGAGCAUGUGGUUUAAUUCGAUGCAACGCGAAGAACCUUACCUGGUCUUGACAUCCACAGAACUUUCCAGAGAUGGAUUGGUGCCUUCGGGAACUGUGAGACAGGUGCUGCAUGGCUGUCGUCAGCUCGUGUUGUGAAAUGUUGGGUUAAGUCCCGCAACGAGCGCAACCCUUAUCCUUUGUUGCCAGCGGUCCGGCCGGGAACUCAAAGGAGACUGCCAGUGAUAAACUGGAGGAAGGUGGGGAUGACGUCAAGUCAUCAUGGCCCUUACGACCAGGGCUACACACGUGCUACAAUGGCGCAUACAAAGAGAAGCGACCUCGCGAGAGCAAGCGGACCUCAUAAAGUGCGUCGUAGUCCGGAUUGGAGUCUGCAACUCGACUCCAUGAAGUCGGAAUCGCUAGUAAUCGUGGAUCAGAAUGCCACGGUGAAUACGUUCCCGGGCCUUGUACACACCGCCCGUCACACCAUGGGAGUGGGUUGCAAAAGAAGUAGGUAGCUUAACCUUCGGGAGGGCGCUUACCACUUUGUGAUUCAUGACUGGGGUGAAGUCGUAACAAGGUAACCGUAGGGGAACCUGCGGUUG
This 1523-nucleotide ribosomal RNA is filed under the name Escherichia coli TW10828. Its description in RNAcentral is "bacterial SSU rRNA". It matches the Rfam family "Bacterial small subunit ribosomal RNA". The record is from RNAcentral. Lineage: Bacteria; Pseudomonadati; Pseudomonadota; Gammaproteobacteria; Enterobacterales; Enterobacteriaceae.